CUACGGGUUGCACCAGUGAGGAAUAUUGCACAAUGGGGGGAACCCUGAUGCAGCAACGCCGCGUGGAGGAUGACGCAUUUCGGUGUGUAAACUCCUUUUAUAUGUCAAGAAAAUGACGGUAGCAUAUGAAUAAGCACCGGCUAACUCCGUGCCAGCAGCCGCGGUAAUACGGAGGGUGCAAGCGUUACUCGGAAUCACUGGGCGUAAAGGACGCGUAGGCGGGUUGGAAAGUCAGGUGUGAAAUCCUACAGCUUAACUGUAGAACUGCACUUGAAACUUCUAAUCUAGAGUAUGGGAGGGGGAGAUGGAAUUAGUGGUGUAGGGGUAAAAUCCGUAGAUAUCACUAGGAAUACCUAAAGCGAAGGCGACCUCCUGGAACAUUACUGACGCUAAGGCGUGAAAGUGUGGGGAGCAAACAGGAUUAGAUACCCCUGUAGUC
This 439-nucleotide ribosomal RNA is filed under the name uncultured bacterium. RNAcentral describes it as "partial 16S ribosomal RNA". It matches the Rfam family "Bacterial small subunit ribosomal RNA", at positions 339 to 795 of the family's 1533-position model. The record is from RNAcentral.